RNAcentral lists this long non-coding RNA (505 nucleotides) under Bos taurus (domestic cattle). Its description in RNAcentral is "long non-coding RNA NONBTAT017394". Lineage: Eukaryota; Metazoa; Chordata; Mammalia; Artiodactyla; Bovidae. The record is from RNAcentral.
UAACCUUAUAGAUAUCCUUUGAUACACAGAUUUAAAUAUUUCUGUGGUCACAUGUCUUUACUUUCAUUGCCUUUCAGUCUUAUGUCUUGCUUCCUUACUCUAUUAAAGUCUAAAAAUAUUUCUGUAAUAUUUUUUACGGUUUUCUUUUUUCUUUUACAUUUAGCUUUUAAUCAAUCUAGAAUUUAUUUUCAGUAAAGAAAUUUAUUCCAAUAGCCAGUCAUUUAUCAUAACUCAUUUAUUAAAGUCCUUCCUUUCCCUAAUUUGUAAUGCCUUUUUUAUUGCUUUCUAAGAUAUAUAUAUAUACACACACACCUUACAAUGAUAUAUAUAUUCAUAUAUGUGCACACACUCGUUUCUGAAUGCCACUUUAUUCCUUUAAGUCAGCUCUUCUAUUUCUAUAGUAUCACAUACUUUAAGUAACUGUUUUGAUAUCUGGUAAUUUUUUGUGACUGUUCUUUGAUUUUUUCUAAUUUUUAAUAGAAAAUAAAAAUUUGUUUUUCUUUUU